Molecule: long non-coding RNA, 925 nt
Filed under: Pogona vitticeps (central bearded dragon)
Lineage: Eukaryota; Metazoa; Chordata; Lepidosauria; Squamata; Agamidae
Description: lncRNA (ENSPVIG00000016059.1)
Source: RNAcentral
UGAUACAUACUCUCUAAAAGGACCAAGUAUUCCCAUAAUAAUAUUUAUCCCAAAUCUUUGGUUUACACUUCCACAAGCUCAUGUUAAAUACUAGCUAAUCACAUAUAAAGGCUAGUUUCUCAUGAAAAAUAUUGGUCAAAGCAGCAACUGCAUGUUUUGCUGCCUCUAGAAGGCCUAAAGACUUCCGUUUUACUUCCUUUUUUUAGAUGAAAGCUUAGAAUCUCAGUAAACCCGUGGCCUAAGUAGGCACUGGAUGGCAUGUCUAAAAUCUGGGUAAAACUUAGCCAGCUAGAUAAUACAGUAGCCCAGGGAUCUAUUUGACAGACAGUUAACAGUCACACUAGGCUGUAAUGUAGCACGAUGAGGGAUUCAUGACAGGUCCUGAAAAACUUUCUGUGAGGGCUGUUUUAACCUUUACAACGGGGGAGAGCAGUUCGAAGGCUUCGUAAAGCCUAGUGUUUUUCUGUGUGUCUUGUCUGGAAAUGACAGCUAUUAUCUCUAGAGCUUAUAAAAGUUGUUUUUAAACCACAGCUCCCAGAAUCCUCCAGCCAACAUAGCCAGGGGCCAUACAGACUAGGGAAUUCUUGCAGCUGCGGUAACAAACAAAAAAAAGCCCUGAUUUUUUCAACCUCUGUUUCUGCCUCAGAUUUUGUAACACAAUCAUUGAAGUGAUUUGAUGGCACGUAACAACAGACAAGAACUUCAGGGGUUUCUAAUGUUUCCAUUUUAUUUGAGAAUCUGGGCACACUGCUGGCGCACUCCUGCUCUUCAGCAUCCUUGGAUCCAAGAAGGAUUCUACUGAGGCCUUAACUAUGACCAAUAGUUCAAGAUGAGAAUUGAAGGUUCCCCUGCCACACAAGCUCAUCUUUCCCAGCAGUGGCAUCUGAAAUGACCAUUAUUUUCUACAUGAUUAGAAGAAAUGUGA